Molecule: ribosomal RNA, 253 nt
Filed under: uncultured bacterium
Lineage: Bacteria
Description: partial 16S ribosomal RNA
Rfam family: Bacterial small subunit ribosomal RNA
Source: RNAcentral
UACAGAGGGGGCAAGCGUUAUUCGGAAUUAUUGGGCGUAAAGGGCGCGUAGGCGGCUUGGCAAGUGACGGGUGAAAUCCCUCGGCUUAACCGAGGAACUGCCUGUCAGACUGCUUUGCUUGAGUCCGGGAGAGGUGAGUGGAAUUCCCAGUGUAGCGGUGAAAUGCGUAGAUAUUGGGAGGAACACCAGUGGCGAAGGCGGCUCACUGGACCGGAACUGACGCUGAGGCGCGAAAGCCAGGGGAGCGAACGGG